This 23-nucleotide non-coding RNA is filed under the name Arabidopsis thaliana (thale cress). Lineage: Eukaryota; Viridiplantae; Streptophyta; Magnoliopsida; Brassicales; Brassicaceae. The record is from RNAcentral.
ACCAUUGGGGAUGCUCUAAAGGA